Hemicordylus capensis (graceful crag lizard) is the source of this 448-nucleotide long non-coding RNA. RefSeq lists it as uncharacterized. The transcript is spliced from 3 exons. The record is from RefSeq and is a predicted model, not a curated record. NCBI's taxonomy places the organism in Eukaryota, Metazoa, Chordata, Lepidosauria, Squamata, Cordylidae.
UUCAAAAGGAGGGAGUUUCAAACCUAUUUAAGCCAAGCCUCUGGCCUGGAAAAUUCUCUUUGGCUGCAGUGGUGGGAUCAUCGGGACCUUGCUAUGCUGACUAGCUGGUGUCUGUUUCCUCAUCUGUUUGGCCCUAUUUCUGCUUCUUGGGCACAUUAAAAUGUGUGAGGAUGUUGGACAAGCAGAGCAAUAUGUCAAGAACUUAUACAUACAGAUGCUGUAACUACUGUCACUGCACAAGCUUUCAAUGGAGAGGCCUCAUCCACACUGAAGUUUCAAAAGCACUUAUGGACUGCAUUAAGGAUCCUCACUGGAACAAACUUCUAAACAACAAAACAUAAAAGAUACUAAAUAGAAUACAACAAGGAUAUUUGUGUCUUCUUUAGCUACUGUAUUGUACUUCUAGUAGAAAACCAUUAAAAUGGCAUCUGUGUCAACAUAUAUUUGA